Long non-coding RNA from Rhineura floridana, 1901 nucleotides. RefSeq lists it as uncharacterized. The transcript is spliced from 2 exons. The record is from RefSeq and is a predicted model, not a curated record. NCBI's taxonomy places the organism in Eukaryota, Metazoa, Chordata, Lepidosauria, Squamata, Rhineuridae.
AAGGAGGCCUGCCAGUGCCCGCAGAGUUACUGCUGCUAUUGGGGAAAAUCAUUGCCCAGCCUAAGCCCGAGCUUCCCCUCCGGACGGGAAGCAACUUUUGAGGCAACUUGGCUGGCGCGCGAUUCAGGGAGGCGGCUACUGGAAACUGCCUCUCCCUCCCCGGCUGCUGGGACUGGGCUCCUCUUCUCUUGCCGCUGGCUGGCUCGAUGCCUCUUCCUCCGCCUCCACCCCCUUCUCCCUUGGCUGAGUCUCUCAUGCAACGCUUCUGUCGUCCUCCUUCCCUUCUCUUGGGAUCACCCGCGGCAGCAAAACCGACCUGAACCUAUACAACUAGCCACCCAGACUGCCAUAAAAGUCACUUCAUUGAUCUGUCUACUGUCCGCGUUGGUAGUGGCGACUUCUCCGGCAACAGAGUCGGUCCCACCUACUAUCGGCCGCAACCACCGCCCAGAGAGAGAAACACACACAGAGGGCGCGCAAGCGGGCGGAGGGGGGGAAGAGGAACAGCCCAGCGUAGGCACUGUACCGUCUACACGCCUCCAGGCUGCGGCGGCGACGGUAAAAUCUUGAGCUGUUGGCGCCGCUUGCCUUUGUUCCCGGAGGGGCGGGCUGCUCCCCCAAGUGUGCGGGGUUCUGCGUCUGCAGCAGGCGUCGGCCGCUCCCUUCCCCCCUCCCAGUCCCGUCGAAUGGUUGCUUCUGGCUCCUGCAUACCGCGCAUUCCUCGGGGCAGCCAGUCAGUCGGCGCGCGCUCUCUCUGGGCUCCGUGUGCCCCAGCGGCGGCAGCACUGCGUUCUACGCCCCAGGCAAAGAGCACUCCGGAGGUGGGCAGGGGAGGCGGGAGAGCGAGCGUGUAUGUAUAUAUGUGAUAUAUACACACACAUAUAAGUCCCCCGCCUACACCUUCAUUUACCUCCUUUUGAAACAAAGAAUCAAUAACUUGGCAAAAGGACUUGCGCUCUUCAUGUUGUAAUAUCACAGGAAGGGCUCCAAAGUAUGUGUUUGUAUUAGAGAGGGAAAGAAGACAGCCAAGCGAGCGCCCUUCAAACCUCUCAUUGUGCUUUCAGAGGCGAGGCAGUGGGCGCGGAAGAACGCGCACCAUUUUAGUUUCUUGGUUCAAGGAGUUGCGCCGUGUGCAGAGGCCCAACUGUGUCUCUUGGGGAUGGCUCUUACCCUAGUGGCAGAAUAGCGAAUGUGCGUGCAUAAAAACUUGACAGAGAACGCCAAAGCUUGUGCCAAAGCCUUGUGAUCUCUAGUAAUAUGAUCCCUCACACAGGCGCAUACAGAGAUUGUGAAACCGCUAUUAAAGCGCCGAAUCCCUUCUUCAAGGGACUGACUAUGGCUGCAAAGUCUACACGGAAACGUUACACAGCAAGAUUACUUCUACUCCAGUACCAGAGUUUCAGCUUAGUAACCCUGCAGCCAGAAAGUCUUUCUAGUAUGGGAACUUAGGAGGAAAUCAGAGUUUAAAAGCCUAUUGGCUUCAAGAGAGUAAAAGCUGCAUCUCUGGCACCUGGCUCUAUGCUUGUUUACUUGGAAGUUUACUCCCAAUGGAGUUUGCACAGGAGUACAGCACUGGUUUUCAAAACUUGGCUAGAUGAGCUGCUACAUCUAUGGACAUCUAGGUUUGCUCAUUCACCACUACCCUGCACUAUUUCACAGCUGAGUAAUUAUACAAACUUCACGGUUUGACAUCUUGGAAAGUGUCAUCUCAUUUGCCAGACAAUUACUCUGUACAAUGAAGAAUCACAAACACUGGCAACUAUAUGUUUUGUCUCUGGUCCUACUGUCUGACCAGCUAUCGGUGCAACUGAAACAUGCCACAACUAAACCUCAAAUAUAUGAAGAACUGCUAAAUAUGGAAUAUACACUUCUGUUCUAAAAUAAAAUUAAAUUUGAUCUUA